RNAcentral lists this ribosomal RNA (441 nucleotides) under Papilio bianor pinratanai. RNAcentral's name for it is "partial 16S ribosomal RNA". The record is from RNAcentral. Lineage: Eukaryota; Metazoa; Arthropoda; Insecta; Lepidoptera; Papilionidae.
AAACAUGUCUUUUUGAAAAUAAUUUAAAGUUUAAUCUGCCCCCUGAUNAAAUUAUUAAAGGGCUGCAGUAUUUUGACUGUACAAAGGUAGCAUAAUCAUUAGUUUUUUAAUUGGUGACUUGUAUGAAAGAUUGGAUGAAAUAUAUACUGUCUCUAUUUAAUUUAUAAAAUUUAAUUUUUUAGUAAAAAAGCUAAAAUGAAUUUAAAAGACGAGAAGACCCUAUAGAGUUUGAUAAUUUAUUUAAUUAUUAUUAAUAUAUAAAUUUUAAAAUUAAAAUUAAAUAAAUUAUUUUGUUGGGGUGAUAGAAAAAUUAAAUUAACUUUUUUUUUAUUUUAUACAUUAAUUUAUGAAUGAAUGAUCCAUUAAUAAUGAUUAAAAGAAAAAAUUACCUUAGGGACAACAGCGUAAUUUUUUUUUUUAGUUCAAAUAGGAAAAAAAGUU